RNAcentral lists this unclassified non-coding RNA (336 nucleotides) under soil metagenome. RNAcentral describes it as "partial contains 5.8S ribosomal RNA, internal transcribed spacer 2, and large subunit ribosomal RNA". The stretch from base 1 to 120 matches the Rfam family "5.8S ribosomal RNA", at positions 35 to 154 of the family's 154-position model. The record is from RNAcentral.
GAUGAAGAACGUAGCGAAAUGCGAUAAGUAGUGUGAAUUGCAGAAUUCAGUGAAUCAUCGAAUCUUUGAACGCACAUUGCGCCCCUUGGUAUUCCAUGGGGCAUGCCUGUUCGAGCGUCAUUUGUACCUUCAAGCUCUGCUUGGUGUUGGGUGUUUGUCUCGCCUCUGCGUGUAGACUCGCCUCAAAACAAUUGGCAGCCGGCGUAUUGAUUUCGGAGCGCAGUACAUCUCGCGCUUUGCACUCAUAACGACAGCGUCCAAAAGUACAUUUUACACUCUUGACCUCGGAUCAGGUAGGGAUACCCGCUGAACUUAAGCAUAUCAGUAAGCGGAGGA